GGUAGAGUGUCCGAGUGGUUAAGGAGAAGCACUUGAAGCGAUUUAGCUAGAUAUGCUUUGCGUUCGCGCGCGUAGGUUCGAAUCCUAUCUCUAUCG
RNAcentral lists this transfer RNA (96 nucleotides) under Fusarium ambrosium. RNAcentral's name for it is "tRNA-Ser". It matches the Rfam family "tRNA". From Rfam's summary of the family: Transfer RNA (tRNA) molecules are approximately 80 nucleotides in length. Their secondary structure includes four short double-helical elements and three loops (D, anti-codon, and T loops). The record is from RNAcentral. Lineage: Eukaryota; Fungi; Ascomycota; Sordariomycetes; Hypocreales; Nectriaceae. RNAcentral also lists the same sequence under 2 other names.